UCAGGCUCGAGAAGUUGCACAUACUGUUCUGGUGCUUCAACAGAUUAUAAAGAGUAUAUAUGUGUAAAUAUUUACAUAGAUCAUAAGAAAAAGCAGCAGGGAAAGCAGAAGCUGAGGCCUCUCAGUGCUUUUCAAGAGGCUUUUUUUUUUUCUUCAUUGGUACAAACAUUAUCAGAAACCCCAAAGAAAACUCUAGGGGUGGGUGAAAAAGAGAGCACUUCCCUCAUCAGUGCUACCAGUCAUCCUGGAGAAAUCACUUUGUGGUUACGACUCAGCAAAUGUUUAGGAAUGUACCUCUUGCCAAAAUUACUAAACCUGAAACUGGGUUGCUACUCAGCAGAAAGAAGAAAAAACAGGCAGCUGAAGUACGCUGGAAACAGUAUCCAUUUGGGAUUGCAGGAAAAAUCAAGUGAAGGAUAAAAAGUAGUCUGCAAACAAAUCAGGCAUGUUAAGGGUCAUGCAAUGCAUCAAACUAGAAAAAGGAUUUCCCCAAAGCAAGCAUGACUGUAAGUGGAAAACUUCCUUCAGGAAAUGGGAAGGCACCUGAGCGUUUUGCAGACCUGAGAUUGCAUCCAAAUGCCUUUGCAAGGAUCCAGGCAAAAAGACUUUCCUUCUGUCCUUUCCAGUGAGACUUCAGAAGUUGUGGCUCCACUGAAGUCAAAAUCCUGUUGGACAUAGGAGAGAGAAAGUCAAGUCUCAGUGGUUCUUAAUGAGUCCUGAAUGAGAGGCUCUCAGUGCCAGUUCUCGGCCUCUCUGCAUGUGUCAGAUACUCCAAGCUCUCAACUAUCUUCAGGACCAUUUGCUGGACUCCAGUCUGUCCGUGUCUGUCAUGUACUGGGUUGCUCAGCUGGGGACACAGUGCUCCAGAUGUGUUCUCCCCAGUGGGUAGAGGGGAAUAAUUGUUUCCCUCUACCGGCUGGCAAUGCUUUUCCUAACAUAGUUUCAGGUGCUCUUAGUCAUUUUCUGCCACAAGGGCCAGUGGUAGCUUAUACUCCGAUUCUGUGUUUUCAGAAAUUUUUUAAAGGGUCAACCUCCUUUUACUCAUAAAUCCUUCACUUCUUUUUGCCCUUUGAACCAUCACAAAAAAUACAAGUAUUAUUUUAGCACCUCUUCAUUUUCAAAUCUACCUGCUAGAAUUUCUGUAAUAAAGUAUUUUAUAUUCUGGCUGGUAAGGUAGGUCUCAAAGCAGAAAUUUCAAGAAGGUAUGUGAACCUGGAAAGCUUUAUUUCUCCCAAUACUUUGUAGAAUUUGAGAGCUUGCAUCAAACUGUGGGUUAAUGAAAUAAGGCUGCAACUGGAAAAAUUAGUAUUAUGGUAUUACAGGCACCGCUAUUCAGGCUUUCUGGUGACUGAGGCUGUCCUGUUAUGUAGUUUAGGGCCUCUGAGGAGGGUUUCAGCAGCAUAAAAAAUUGAUUAAAAAUAAUAUAACCUAUAACACAUGUAAAAAUCUAAUUAGAGCAGUGUAAAGGUUUAUAGCAAUCUGGCAUUCAUUUCUAGCUCAACUGCAGACCUGCUGAAUAACUUGCACAAGUCAUUUAUCUUUCCAGGUCUUUAUAUCUUUAUCAGUAGAAUAAGGAAGGAAGGCAUUCCUGGAUGCAUAUUGUUACUUUAAAACCAGGGGCGGGGGAGUUCAUCCUUGUUUUGUAGAGGUGAUCCAGAGGGGGAAGAAAUCUGCUUAAUUAUCAGUCCUUCAAAUGUUACCGGAAUAAGAGCUGUAGAUAUGCAUAAAAUUAUGUAUUGAGAGAUACCGUUAAAACUUGUGUUUUCUGAUAAGCCACAGUUGUCCUUCAUUUUAAAUAGCCCACGGCCAGUGUCAUAAUGUUGUACUGCCUACUUGAAAUGAGAAUUUAAUUUACAGCUCAAAUUCAGGGAA
Non-coding RNA from Anas platyrhynchos (mallard), 1872 nucleotides. The record is from RefSeq and is a predicted model, not a curated record. Lineage: Eukaryota; Metazoa; Chordata; Aves; Anseriformes; Anatidae.